RNAcentral lists this unclassified non-coding RNA (190 nucleotides) under rhizosphere metagenome. Its description in RNAcentral is "partial ribosomal RNA internal transcribed spacer region". The record is from RNAcentral.
GAAAUAAACCUGAUGGGUUGUUGCUGGUUCUCUAGGGAGCAUGUGCACGCCUUGUCAUCUUUAUAUCUCCACCUGUGCACCUUUUGUAGACCUUCCAGGUCUAUGUUGCUUCAUUUACCCCAAUGUAUGUUAAUAGAAUGUUGUGAUUAUAAAAAUAUAUACAACUUUCAGCAACGGAUCUCUUGGCUCU